Molecule: ribosomal RNA, 253 nt
Filed under: uncultured bacterium
Lineage: Bacteria
Description: partial 16S ribosomal RNA
Rfam family: Bacterial small subunit ribosomal RNA
Source: RNAcentral
UACGGGGGGGGCAAGCGUUGUUCGGAAUUACUGGGCGUAAAGGGCUCGUAGGUGGCCAACUAAGUCAGACGUGAAAUCCCUCGGCUUAACCGGGGAACUGCGUCUGAUACUGGAUGGCUUGAGGUUGGGAGAGGGAUGCGGAAUUCCAGGUGUAGCGGUGAAAUGCGUAGAUAUCUGGAGGAACACCGGUGGCGAAGGCGGCAUCCUGGACCAAUACUGACGCUGAGGAGCGAAAGCCAGGGGAGCAAACGGG